RNAcentral lists this ribosomal RNA (1498 nucleotides) under Limosilactobacillus fermentum. Its description in RNAcentral is "bacterial SSU rRNA". It matches the Rfam family "Bacterial small subunit ribosomal RNA". The record is from RNAcentral. Lineage: Bacteria; Bacillati; Bacillota; Bacilli; Lactobacillales; Lactobacillaceae.
GAUGAACGCCGGCGGUGUGCCUAAUACAUGCAAGUCGAACGCGUUGGUCCAAUUGAUUGAUGGUGCUUGCACCUGAUUGAUUUUGGUCGCCAACGAGUGGCGGACGGGUGAGUAACACGUAGGUAACCUGCCCAGAAGCGGGGGACAACAUUUGGAAACAGAUGCUAAUACCGCAUAACAGCGUUGUUCGCAUGAACAACGCUUAAAAGAUGGCUUCUCGCUAUCACUUCUGGAUGGACCUGCGGUGCAUUAGCUUGUUGGUGGGGUAAUGGCCUACCAAGGCGAUGAUGCAUAGCCGAGUUGAGAGACUGAUCGGCCACAAUGGGACUGAGACACGGCCCAUACUCCUACGGGAGGCAGCAGUAGGGAAUCUUCCACAAUGGGCGCAAGCCUGAUGGAGCAACACCGCGUGAGUGAAGAAGGGUUUCGGCUCGUAAAGCUCUGUUGUUAAAGAAGAACACGUAUGAGAGUAACUGUUCAUACGUUGACGGUAUUUAACCAGAAAGUCACGGCUAACUACGUGCCAGCAGCCGCGGUAAUACGUAGGUGGCAAGCGUUAUCCGGAUUUAUUGGGCGUAAAGAGAGUGCAGGCGGUUUUCUAAGUCUGAUGUGAAAGCCUUCGGCUUAACCGGAGAAGUGCAUCGGAAACUGGAUAACUUGAGUGCAGAAGAGGGUAGUGGAACUCCAUGUGUAGCGGUGGAAUGCGUAGAUAUAUGGAAGAACACCAGUGGCGAAGGCGGCUACCUGGUCUGCAACUGACGCUGAGACUCGAAAGCAUGGGUAGCGAACAGGAUUAGAUACCCUGGUAGUCCAUGCCGUAAACGAUGAGUGCUAGGUGUUGGAGGGUUUCCGCCCUUCAGUGCCGGAGCUAACGCAUUAAGCACUCCGCCUGGGGAGUACGACCGCAAGGUUGAAACUCAAAGGAAUUGACGGGGGCCCGCACAAGCGGUGGAGCAUGUGGUUUAAUUCGAAGCUACGCGGAGAACCUUACCAGGUCUUGACAUCUUGCGCCAACCCUAGAGAUAGGGCGUUUCCUUCGGGAACGCAAUGACAGGUGGUGCAUGGUCGUCGUCAGCUCGUGUCGUGAGAUGUUGGGUUAAGUCCCGCAACGAGCGCAACCCUUGUUACUAGUUGCCAGCAUUAAGUUGGGCACUCUAGUGAGACUGCCGGUGACAAACCGGAGGAAGGUGGGGACGACGUCAGAUCAUCAUGCCCCUUAUGACCUGGGCUACACACGUGCUACAAUGGACGGUACAACGAGUCGCGAACUCGCGAGGGCAAGCAAAUCUCUUAAAACCGUUCUCAGUUCGGACUGCAGGCUGCAACUCGCCUGCACGAAGUCGGAAUCGCUAGUAAUCGCGGAUCAGCAUGCCGCGGUGAAUACGUUCCCGGGCCUUGUACACACCGCCCGUCACACCAUGAGAGUUUGUAACACCCAAAGUCGGUGGGGUAACCUUUUAGGAGCCAGCCGCCUAAGGUGGGACAGAUGAUUAGGGUG